RNAcentral lists this long non-coding RNA (1221 nucleotides) under Dermacentor andersoni. RNAcentral's name for it is "uncharacterized LOC126526676". Lineage: Eukaryota; Metazoa; Arthropoda; Arachnida; Ixodida; Ixodidae. The record is from RNAcentral.
CUCGUUUAACCUUUGCACUGUACACUCACGAUAAUGGAUCAACAACUAGCUUAAUAAGCUGCCCUUGUAAAUUCCUAUAGGAGAUGUUCCUUCAAGUUUGUAUUCAUGGCUAAUUUUCCCUUGUGUGCAUGUUUUAGUAAUAAGCUAAUUUGAAAUAUUAAUUAAAACCUUUUAUAACAUCUUGUUUGGUGAAAGUAUUUUAAGAGUUUGUGAACUCUGGUCAUGAUUAUCAGUUUAUUUUGGCAAUUGCAGGACAAAAGGAUUGAAUGUUACCCCUGUCCUCUGUCAAAUCCAUCUGAUCAAUUCUCUAACCUCGGUCUUGUCACGUACCUAAUGCUUUCAUGGUGCAGUUUACUUAAAUUCUCCCAUCUGAUGACUCACAGUUCAACUGUUUGAUAUUAUUUCAUGGAAAUGGUUGCGCUACAGUGCUGUUGCAUAUUGUUUUUUGUGUAUUGUUUGAUGUCGAAGGUUGAUGCAUGCUUUUUUAAACAUCAGGUACCCAAAUAAAUUGUGCAAUGUUGCUGCAAGGAGCCUCGUAAACCAGUACCCAGCACUGAGGGACACAUUGCACCUUGGCCAUUUCUCAUGGUAUAUGUGCCUAAGAAACAAGUACAAAAACAUGCGAAAGUCAAUGCCACCAGGAUGCCCUGAAGUCGACGCAGAAGUGAAAGCAAGAAAGGCAAGCGAAUUGUGACACAUGCUCAAAAUCUGGAUUUUGAAGACAGGUGAUCAGCUGCAAGUUUGCAUGCAUAUUUCAUUAGAUAAACUGACUCUCCUUUCUUUGUUAUGUGGCUUAGUUGAAACAUUUAGUUGCUUCUCAUGAUGUACUUGUUCGUUUCAUUUAAUUUUUUCUUUAACAAAUGCAAACAUGCAAUCCGGCUAUAGCAACUAUAUCUGCAAUGCUGUCAGAGAUUUUGUAGGUGAUCAAAGAAGCAAAAUAUCAUAUCGCAUCGCCACCUUGAACCUAGACUGAAACAUUAGUUCAAGAUGUAGUGGUAGAUGCAUUUAUAGACUAGUAAUACAGCAUUCGUACUGUAAUUACAAUUGAUAUACAUGCUAAGAUGUAGUGAAAAGUGUGUGGCUAUGUUGCUCUGACACUUCAGUUGUUUUAACCCUUCAUUGAGGAGUUCUGCAUACAGCAUACCAAAAAAUAUGAAUUUUUCUUGCUGAUUUUUGGCAUUGGGUAAGAAGUUCCUUGUUAAAUGUAUUGAGCCAGCACUG